UUCGGGGUGGUUUACCUUGCAAGUCGAACGCUGAAGCACCAGCUUGCUGGUGUGGAUGAGUGGCGAACGGGUGAGUAACACGUGAGCAACCUGCCCCUGACUCUGGGAUAAGCGCUGGAAACGGCGUCUAAUACUGGAUACGACCUUCAGCCGCAUGGCUAGGAGGUGGAAAGUUUUUCGGUUGGGGAUGGGCUCGCGGCCUAUCAGCUUGAUGGUGAGGUAAUGGCUCACCAUGGCGACGACGGGUAGCCGGCCUGAGAGGGUGACCGGCCACACUGGGACUGAGACACGGCCCAGACUCCUACGGGAGGCAGCAGUGGGGAAUAUUGCACAAUGGGCGCAAGCCUGAUGCAGCAACGCCGCGUGAGGGAUGACGGCCUUCGGGUUGUAAACCUCUUUUAGUAGGGAAGAAGCCUUUGGGUGACGGUACCUGCAGAAAAAGCACCGGCUAACUACGUGCCAGCAGCCGCGGUAAUACGUAGGGUGCAAGCGUUGUCCGGAAUUAUUGGGCGUAAAGAGCUCGUAGGCGGCUUGUCGCGUCUGCCGUGAAAUCCUCAGGCUCAACUUGAGGCGUGCGGUGGGUACGGGCAGGCUAGAGUGCGGUAGGGGAGAUUGGAAUUCCUGGUGUAGCGGUGGAAUGCGCAGAUAUCAGGAGGAACACCGAUGGCGAAGGCAGAUCUCUGGGCCGCUACUGACGCUGAGGAGCGAAAGCAUGGGGAGCGAACAGGAUUAGAUACCCUGGUAGUCCAUGCCGUAAACGGUGGGAACUAGAUGUAGGGCCUGUUCCACGGGUUCUGUGUCGUAGCUAACGCAUUAAGUUCCCCGCCUGGGGAGUACGGCCGCAAGGCUAAAACUCAAAGGAAUUGACGGGGGCCCGCACAAGCGGCGGAGCAUGCGGAUUAAUUCGAUGCAACGCGAAGAACCUUACCAAGGCUUGACAUGUAGAAGAACACUGCAGAGAUGCAGGACUCUUUGGACACUUCUAUACAGGUGGUGCAUGGUUGUCGUCAGCUCGGGCCGGGAAAUGUUCGGUUAAGUC
Molecule: ribosomal RNA, 1039 nt
Filed under: Leucobacter sp.
Lineage: Bacteria; Bacillati; Actinomycetota; Actinomycetes; Micrococcales; Microbacteriaceae
Description: bacterial SSU rRNA
Rfam family: Bacterial small subunit ribosomal RNA
Source: RNAcentral